This 1102-nucleotide long non-coding RNA is filed under the name Panax ginseng (ginseng). RNAcentral describes it as "long non-coding RNA (PGIN_LNC013074)". Lineage: Eukaryota; Viridiplantae; Streptophyta; Magnoliopsida; Apiales; Araliaceae. The record is from RNAcentral.
AAAAUAAAAAAAAGAGGAGAGGAGAGAAAAAAUCAAUUUUUAAUAAGUGAAAAAAAAUUGAAGAAACACAUUUGCAUGACUAACGCAUAUAUGAAAAACACUUAUGCUAAAAAAAAGUUUGACGAACAUUGGAGGGACACUUUUUCAUGACUAAUGCAUCUAUGAGGAACAGUUAUGUUAAAAAAAGAGUUUAGGGAGUUUAGCAAAAAUAUGACAAAUAGGAGGGUCAGAUUUGCAAUUUAGUCUGUAUAUGUAUGUAUCAUAUUAAUAAAAUUUAAUACUAUAGUAUAUAUAAUAUGUCUUCGUCUCCAUCUUGUUCGGUAACAACCGUCUUGUUCGGAGCCAUCGUCUCCAUCAAUGUUCCAGCCGGAACCGUAGAAAGCUCCAUUAAACGCAGCCGUUUAGGCACCACAUGGCCAACUACAGAGGCGUAAAUGACGAUUUGGGGAUACUGAUGCUAACAUCCAACAGUACCAGACGGAGAUAAGGGCUCACUCUCAAUUUGCCAAUUCUGCCAUCACCGGUUAAAACAUAUACACUUUUAUUAAAAAAGGUUAGAUCUACAAAAAACCCAUCUUUGCCCUUAUAUGGGAUGGUUCUCCAAUUGGCUCCACCCCUUCGAGAUAACAGCAUACAAUUUUCUGUUAAGGAUGUUUUUCAUUGUUGGUUCUAUCGGUUCCAUCGCCGGUUUCUAGUUAUGUUGUGGAUUUAAUAUGAAAUUGUUUGGUUAAUUCGCUGUUUUUUGUUUUGAUCUGGUGUUGGGUAUUGGAUUUUUGAUGCUAUGGGUUCGUCAAUCACCAGUUUAAUUCUGGGUUGUUCUGGCCGGAUUCGAUCUAUGUCUUUGAGUAGGCGACUGGUGGUGUUGGUGAGAAAGAAAGAUGAACAGUAAGGAGGGUUUGAGUUUGAAUUAAUUAUGAAAAAAUGACAGAUAAAUAAUGUUUUAUUUAUUUAUGUUUGUACUCUGCAUUAUUUUUUUUUGUCUAAAAUUUUUUAAAAAAAAUUGGUCUUAUACAGUUAAAUAUAAAGUCAAUAUGUAUUGUACGACAAAAUUAUAUUUUUAUUUAUUAUUUUAUUUUAGGCUUAUUUAUUCAUGUUGAUGGAG